UACCAGCUCUUCGAGUGGUGUGGAUGUUUAUUGGGCCUAAAGCAUCCGUAGCUGGCUGGGCAAGUCCCCUGUUAAAUCCACCGAUUUAAUCGUUGGAGUGCGGGGGAUACUGUUCGGCUAGGGGACGGGAGAGGCAGACGGUAUUUUCGGGGUAGGGGUGAAAUCCUAUAAUCCCGGGAAGACCACCAGUGGCGAAGGCUGUCUGCUAGAACGCGCCCGACGGUGAGGGAUGAAAGCUGGGGGAGCGAACCGGAUUAGAUACCCGGGUAGUCCCAGCUGUAAACGAUGCAGGCUAGGUGUUUGGGCGGCCACGUGCCGCUCUAGUGCCGCAGGGAAGCUGUUAAGCCUGCCGCCUGGGGAGUACGGCCGCAAGGCUGAAACUUAAAGGAAUUGGGCGGGGGAGCACCACAAGGGGUGAAGCUUGCGGUUU
This 430-nucleotide ribosomal RNA is filed under the name uncultured archaeon. RNAcentral's name for it is "bacterial SSU rRNA". It matches the Rfam family "Archaeal small subunit ribosomal RNA", at positions 474 to 903 of the family's 1478-position model. The record is from RNAcentral.